UGGGGAAUAUUGCACAAUGGGCGGAAGCCUGAUGCAGCAACGCCGCGUGCGGGAUGACGGCCUUCGGGUUGUAAACCGCUUUCGCCUGUGACGAAGCGUGAGUGACGGUAAUGGGUAAAGAAGCACCGGCUAACUACGUGCCAGCAGCCGCGGUGAUACGUAGGGUGCGAGCGUUGUCCGGAUUUAUUGGGCGUAAAGGGCUCGUAGGUGGUUGAUCGCGUCGGAAGUGUAAUCUUGGGGCUUAACCCUGGGCGUGCUUUCGAUACGGGUUGACUUGAGGAAGGUAGGGGAGAAUGGAAUUCCUGGUGGAGCGGUGGAAUGCGCAGAUAUCAGGAGGAACACCAGUGGCGAAGGCGGUUCUCUGGGCCUUUCCUGACGCUGAGGAGCGAAAGCGUGGGGAGCGAACA
Molecule: ribosomal RNA, 407 nt
Filed under: uncultured bacterium
Lineage: Bacteria
Description: partial 16S ribosomal RNA
Rfam family: Bacterial small subunit ribosomal RNA
Source: RNAcentral